UACGUAGGGUGCAAGCGUUAAUCGGAAUUACUGGGCGUAAAGCGUGCGCAGGCGGUUGUGCAAGACAGAUGUGAAACCCCCGGGCUCAACCUGGGAACUGCAUUUGUGACUGCACGGCUUGAGUGCGGCAGAGGGGGAUGGAAUUCCGCGUGUAGCAGCGAAAUGCGUAGAUAUGCGGAGGAACACCGAUGGCGAAGGCAAUCCCCUGGGCCUGCACUGACGCUCAUGCACGAAAGCGUGGGGAGCGAACAGG
Molecule: ribosomal RNA, 253 nt
Filed under: uncultured bacterium
Lineage: Bacteria
Description: partial 16S ribosomal RNA
Rfam family: Bacterial small subunit ribosomal RNA
Source: RNAcentral